This 253-nucleotide ribosomal RNA is filed under the name uncultured bacterium. RNAcentral's name for it is "partial 16S ribosomal RNA". It matches the Rfam family "Bacterial small subunit ribosomal RNA", at positions 524 to 776 of the family's 1533-position model. The record is from RNAcentral.
UACAGGGGGUGCAAACGUUGCUCGGAAUCAUUGGGCGUAAAGCGCACGUAGGCGGUUUGUUAUGUCGGAUGUGAAAGCCCUUGGCUCAACUGAGGAAGUGCAUCCGAAACUGGCAAGCUAGAGUACUAAAGAGGGUCGCGGAAUUCCCGGUGUAGAGGUGAAAUUCGUAGAUAUCGGGAGGAACACCGAUGGCGAAGGCACUUUACUGGGCUAUUACUAACACUCAGAGAACGAAGCUAGGGUAGCAAAUGGG